CCAAUAGCGUAUAUUAAAGUUGUUGCAGUUAAAAAGCUCGUAGUUGAAUUUCGGGGUUAGUAGGUUGGUCAUGCCUCUGGUAUGUACUGGUCUCACUGAUUCCUCCUUCCUGAUGAACCGUAAUGCCAUUAAUUUGUUGUUGCGGGGAAUUUGGACUGUUACUUUGAAAAAAUUAGAGUGUUUAAAGCAAGCUAACGCUUGAAUACAUUAGCAUGGAAUAAUGAAAUAGGACGUUCGAUCCUAUUUUGUUGGUUUCUAGGAUUGACGUAAUGAUUAAUAGGGAUAGUUGGGGGCAUUAGUAUUCAAUUGUCAGAGGUGAAAUUCUUGGAUUUAUUGAAGACUAACUACUGCGAAAGCAUUUGCCAAGGAUGUUUUCAUUAAUCAAGAACGAAAGUUAGGGGAUCGAAGACGAUCAGAUACCGUCGUAGUCUUAACCAUAAACUAUGCCGACUAGGGAUCGGAUGAUGUUAAUUUUUUAAUGACUCAUUCGGCGCCUUACG
RNAcentral lists this ribosomal RNA (500 nucleotides) under uncultured Glomeromycotina. Its description in RNAcentral is "partial small subunit ribosomal RNA". It matches the Rfam family "Eukaryotic small subunit ribosomal RNA", at positions 591 to 1092 of the family's 1831-position model. Lineage: Eukaryota; Fungi; Glomeromycota. The record is from RNAcentral.